AUUGUACGCUGGCGGCAUGCUUUACACAUGCAAGUCGAACGGUAACAGGCCUUCGGGUGCUGACGAGUGGCGAACGGGUGAGUAAUGCAUCGGAACGUGCCCAAUCGUGGGGGAUAACGUAGCGAAAGUUACGCUAAUACCGCAUAAGCCCUGAGGGGGAAAGCAGGGGAUCGCAAGACCUUGCGCGAAUGGAGCGGCCGAUGUCAGAUUAGCUAGUUGGUGGGGUAAAGGCCUACCAAGGCGACGAUCUGUAGCGGGUCUGAGAGGAUGAUCCGCCACACUGGGACUGAGACACGGCCCAGACUCCUACGGGAGGCAGCAGUGGGGAAUUUUGGACAAUGGGCGCAAGCCUGAUCCAGCCAUGCCGCGUGCGGGACGAAGGCCUUCGGUUGUAACCGCUUUCAGCCGGAAGAAUCGCAAGGCUAAUAUCCUUGUGGAUGACGGUACCGGAAGAAGAAG
Molecule: ribosomal RNA, 459 nt
Filed under: uncultured bacterium
Lineage: Bacteria
Description: bacterial SSU rRNA
Rfam family: Bacterial small subunit ribosomal RNA
Source: RNAcentral